UCUGGGCAGGUUGGCGGGUUUGGGUUGGCGGAGCCGUGGCAGCAGACGGGGCGGCCGCUCGCUCUGCUGGCUCCGGCGUGGCCUGCACCUCACGCCCUGUGGAAAGGAGCCGGUGGGCGGAGGUUCCCCGGCCCAGGUGGGAGCAGUCUUUCGCGAGGAGCACGCGUGGGGACAGCGAAGGGCCGGCGCCUCGCGCCCUCGCACGGCCGCGCUGAGCCGAGCAGCUUCUGUCCACAGAGCGUCGGGACCGCGCGGCCAUGCGCCCCGUCGCCAUUGCGCCCCGCCUCCUGCUGGCCUGCAGCCUGGCCCUCGGGCCCCUGCUGGCAGGUGAGAGACCGGGGUCUUCCCGCCCCUCGCUCCCACGUGCAGCCGGCAUCGGCGUGCGCGGCCCACAUUCCCGCCAGCUCCUGGUUCCUUCUCCUGGGAGAUUCAGAUGCGUGACCUAGAGGAGAAGGAUGUUGAUGAAUUCAGUUCCAGUGGUUUUAAAUGCCCAACUUGUAUUGCAGUACAGGGAAGAAAAUGUCAUGUAGAAUUCAAAUGGUGUGCAGCAGAUCAAAUAAACUGUUUUGAAUUCUUGGGCAUCAUAAACACAGGUACUUUUCUAGGAGGCGCUAUUUUGUAGACGCUGAGCGUGUGACACUGUCACAACCUUACGGGGCACACAGCAAAGUUGAGGGGAAACCAGCUUUUGUACAAAUAGCUUAGAAAUGAGGACAGAGCAGUAUCCUGACUUUGAAAAUAUGGCCAAUUGCUUUCUCACAGUAAUUGACUUAUGGCUUUAUACAUGGAUUUAUUGAUGGGCUCCAUAGUUUUGAGGGAGUUAGUUCAACAUACUGCUUAGCCUUCAUCUUCGGCAAACUUUGAGUAGUUUUUGUUUGUUUUUAAGACAUAGGCAAUUUGUGUUUUCCUGCCUCUGGAUUAUUUUCAUUUUCAGCGUAAAAUGUUUGGAGACAGGGGAUGAUUGAACUUAAGCUUUCUUCAAAGGAAUCAAAGGAGAACGCUUCACUAUGCUCACUUAAGAAAACCUGGUACAAAGUUCUAAAUUAACUGAAGAUAUAAAUGAGAAGUGAAUGAAAACUGGUAGCAUGGGAUAGCUUGAAGUGCAGUGGGCAAAGUUCCGUGAGGGUUGGGUUGUUUCCACUUCCUUCUGCUUCCUUCUGAGGGAGCUCCGCCUUCCUCAAGUUCCUCACUGGGAGGUAACUGCUGUGCCCAGCCAUGUUAUUUGCCUCUUGCAUCCUCAUGUUUGUACUUUGCACAAUUUGCCCAACACCAAGUCUUUGCUUUAAAACAACAAUAGAGGUGAGGUGAAAGCAUCAACAGCAGAGUCCCAGCCGUGGGAAAGAUGGUGUAGAAAGGAAACACAGUCUGAACUAGGCCUUCUUCGUGGCCAUUGGUAUUCUUAAAUGAUAACUCAGACCUAGAAUUAGAGAAGAUUAGAAAACAGAGGCUGGGUUGCCAACUGAUGGCGGGAGCUGGAAAUGCAUUCAUCUACAUAAAGCUUAGAAAAUACCCCCACUAUCUGAUUCACUGUGAGGAGCUGUGAGAGGGUGUGAGGAUUUUGAGGCCCAGUGUUUGGAGAAUACCAUUCCAACUCAUGUCCCUGCUAGAGAUAACCAGGUCACUCUUGCCACUCACACAGGAGUGUGCUCUCAUUUAUAUUUUAAUCCAUACCAGUCUGGGUAAAGGCAAAGGAUAAGGA
Non-coding RNA from Oryctolagus cuniculus (rabbit), 1699 nucleotides. The record is from RefSeq and is a predicted model, not a curated record. Lineage: Eukaryota; Metazoa; Chordata; Mammalia; Lagomorpha; Leporidae.